AUGUAAAUGUUUCUGUUUUCCUGGAGCAGCUGCAGAACUUUUGUGACAAUACUUGACUGGAAUUCCACUUCCCCUUGUUUUUAGCUUGUCUCCAUGGUGAUGCAUUCGUUUUGCCUCAUGGUAAACUACUCUCUGGAAAUAUUUUCUACCAUUAGAACCAACCGCAAACCUUCACCAUUUCUGGCUAACCUGGACAUUCAGUGCCCCCUUAGAACCCAACUUUCCAUCCCAGCAUUAACAACGCGAACAAACUGUGUCUGCAUUUUUCUUUGAAUUGGUGGGGCAAAGGGGUCUUCAGUAAAGACAUUGUAGCAGUUGACACCGACCAGCAAGAGAAAGCUGUUCCUUCCGUAGUUAACUGGGAAGGCAUUCAGCAGGGCAAAAGGAAUUGGGAGAGUCACCUUGGUUGCACAUUGACUGAAUUAAAUUGCUAACAGUUCUACUGAAGCAGGUGCAUGAAGGUCGAGAGGGGCAGAGUUUAAAGCCCCUGCUAUCCCACCUAAGAUGAAAGGUCAUGAGUUGCCACCAUGUCGUUUCAAGUGAUGCAGGAUUGGAUCCAUCAGUAAUACCUUCUUACAUUGUCAAGUAUCUGUGAUUCACAUGCAACCUUGCAGCUAUUGACCAAACAUCUCAGAAAAGUCAGCUACCAAACCUUUAUUCCCCCAGAAAAAAAGCUGAUCACUCAAAAUAAACUCUUGAUGUGAAAAAGCAUAGUUACAAUGGUUUUGCAACUGAAGCUUUCGGAAUAUGUCACAACCUUAACUUGGAUUUUAUCUCAUAAACUUCUUCAAGAUGGAAGAGAAAGGGCAAAGCUGCAAAAAGUGGAUGUCUUUAUUAAACUAACCCCCGAGAAACAGCCAGAAGACAAUCAAACACAGCUGUCCCAUUUCUGCAACUACAACUGUACCUGAAGGUGAUGAUAAUGAUGGCCCUCUG
This is a long non-coding RNA of Chiloscyllium plagiosum (whitespotted bambooshark), 936 nucleotides long. RefSeq lists it as uncharacterized. The record is from RefSeq and is a predicted model, not a curated record. Lineage: Eukaryota; Metazoa; Chordata; Chondrichthyes; Orectolobiformes; Hemiscylliidae.